Molecule: ribosomal RNA, 301 nt
Filed under: uncultured bacterium
Lineage: Bacteria
Description: partial 16S ribosomal RNA
Rfam family: Bacterial small subunit ribosomal RNA
Source: RNAcentral
CAGUAGCCACGGUAAUACGAAGGGUGCAAGCGUUAAUCGGAAUUACUGGGCGUAAAGCGUGCGUAGGCGGUUUCUUAAGUCUGCUGUGAAAUCCCCGGGCUCAACCUGGGAAUGGCAGUGGAUACUGGGAAGCUAGAGUGUGUCAGAGGAUGGUGGAAUUCCCGGUGUAGCGGUGAAAUGCGUAGAGAUCGGGAGGAACAUCAGUGGCGAAGGCGGCCAUCUGGGACAACACUGACGCUGAGGCACGAAAGCGUGGGGAGCAAACAGGAUUAGAUACCCCUGUAGUCCCUGUAUCUUAUAC